GACUGUUCUCCGCCUGACUCAACCCGGUUAACAUACCGGCCAAUGUUGGCUCCCAUUGAUUUUGGCCAAAGGGCGGGGGGGAAACACUUGGCACCCCCCGGAGGGGGCACAUUUGAACAAGUUUUAACCGAAAAAAGUGUUUCCAAAACCAGUUAAAAGUGCUUCCGCACCUUUGGGAGGCCUGGGGCCUUAGUUGUGGGGGGAAACGCCCACCAGGCGGUGAUCCAUUCGGAUUGGAGGCUUAUCGCCACAAGGGGAUGGGCACGGCCCAUAUUCUUAGGGGGGCAGCAGUAGGAAUUUUCCACAAUGGGCGCAACCUGAGGAACAACACCGCGUGAGUGAAGAAGGUUUCGGCUCGUAAAGCUCUGUUGUAAAGAAGAACACGUAUGAGAGUACUGUUCAUACGUUGACGGUAUUAACCAGAAAGUCACGGCUAACUACGUGCCAGCAGCCGCGGUAAUACGUAGGUGGCAAGCGUUAUCCGGAUUUAUUGGGCGUAAAGAGAGUGCAGGCGGUUUUCUAAGUCUGAUGUGAAAGCCUUCGGCUUAACCGGAGAAGUGCAUCGGAAACUGGAUAACUUGAGUGCAGAAGAGGGUAGUGGAACUCCAUGUGUAGCGGUGGAAUGCGUAGAUAUAUGGAAGAACACCAGUGGCGAAGGCGGCUACCUGGUCUGCAACUGACGCUGAGACUCGAAAGCAUGGGUAGCGAACAGGAUUAGAUACCCUGGUAGUCCAUGCCGUAAACGAUGAGUGCUAGGUGUUGGAGGGUUUCCGCCCUUCAGUGCCGGAGCUAACGCAUUAAGCACUCCGCCUGGGGAGUACGACCGCAAGGUUGAAACUCAAAGGAAUUGACGGGGGCCCGCACAAGCGGUGGAGCAUGUGGUUUAAUUCGAAGCUACGCGAAGAACCUUACCAGGUCUUGACAUCUUGCGCCAACCCUAGAGAUAGGGCGUUUCCUUCGGGAACGCAAUGACAGGUGGUGCAUGGUCGUCGUCAGCUCGUGUCGUGAGAUGUUGGGUUAAGUCCCGCAACGAGCGCAACCCUUGUUACUAGUUGCCAGCAUUAAGUUGGGCACUCUAGUGAGACUGCCGGUGACAAACCGGAGGAAGGUGGGGACGACGUCAGAUCAUCAUGCCCCUUAUGACCUGGGCUACACACGUGCUACAAUGGACGGUACAACGAGUCGCGAACUCGCGAGGGCAAGCAAAUCUCUUAAAACCGUUCUCAGUUCGGACUGCAGGCUGCAACUCGCCUGCACGAAGUCGGAAUCGCUAGUAAUCGCGGAUCAGCAUGCCGCGGUGAAUACGUUCCCGGGCCUUGUACACACCGCCCGUCACACCAUGAGAGUUUGUAACACCCAAAGUCGGUGGGGUAACCUUUUAGGAGCCAGCCGCCUAAGGGGGACAGAUGAUUAGGGGAAGUCGAAUCAACGAGUCAGG
This 1438-nucleotide ribosomal RNA is filed under the name Limosilactobacillus fermentum. Its description in RNAcentral is "bacterial SSU rRNA". It matches the Rfam family "Bacterial small subunit ribosomal RNA". The record is from RNAcentral. Lineage: Bacteria; Bacillati; Bacillota; Bacilli; Lactobacillales; Lactobacillaceae.